Non-coding RNA from Solanum lycopersicum (tomato), 54 nucleotides. The record is from Rfam. NCBI's taxonomy places the organism in Eukaryota, Viridiplantae, Streptophyta, Magnoliopsida, Solanales, Solanaceae.
GUGAGAUGAAAUCAGCGUUCGGACAUGCGAUUUUACGCUGAUUUCAUCUCAUGA